RNAcentral lists this long non-coding RNA (228 nucleotides) under Elaeis guineensis (African oil palm). Its description in RNAcentral is "long non-coding RNA (EGUI_LNC007098)". Lineage: Eukaryota; Viridiplantae; Streptophyta; Magnoliopsida; Arecales; Arecaceae. The record is from RNAcentral.
GGAGUGCAUGGUUGGAGAUUUGCGUGGAGAAUAUAUUUCGAUCCUUGAUCGUAGCUGAGAAGUGCGUGUUUGGAGACCUACAAGGAGGACAUGUUCCGAUCCUUGACCAUAGGCAAGGAGCGUAUGUUUAGAGAUUUGCAUGGAGAACAUGUUUCGAUCCUCGACCGUAGCCAAGGAGUGUGUGUUUGGAGACCUGCAUGGCAAACACGGAGAAUACGUUCUGCACCC